CUACUCCACUGUCCCCAAACCCAUUAGGAUUCUUUUCCUAAAGCCAUUAUGUCAUUACGUCUCUCUGCUCUAACAAUGUCACACAACUCUAAGGGCUCCACGGUCACUGAUGACAUCAUUCCCUCUGAUGACAUCACUCCCUGCUAAGAUACUUUCAAGGAUCCUCAACACACAGUGAAGACCACCUUCCAAGCCUGGCACCCUAGGUCCCCAAGAGUACUUCAGAAGCCACGUGCCAGGCUCCAGGACACGUGGCACUCAACUGAGGUUUCAGCAGGAACAGUGUGCUUUUGGGUUAACCUGGGCUACACAGAGUUUGAAGCCAGCCUGAGUUAUCUACAGAGUUCAAGGCCUGACCCAACAGAAGGAAAGAGAAGGCAGUAAGACUUCAUCCCACACUCCGAGGAGAGCAGUUUGUCAGUGUCUGUUACUGCAAGAACUAGGAGGAAGCCAGUAGGAAUUUUCUCAUUGAUCAAAACUCCUGACUGGAGGCUUUGUUUUCCAACAGCUGCAGCAUUGACAUCCUUGUAAGCCUCGGCUGUUAUCAGUGGUGGGGAGCAGCCAGGGACUUAGGUGUAACCAAGUCAGGCUGGCUGCUGCAUGGAAGGGGUCAGCAGCUGACCCGAGUGAUGUCCUCUCAGUGCGUGGUCAUCUGGGCUGAGCAUACUGCAGGAGCAAAAGCAUCUGGACCAUUCGGGAGCGUGCGAACACUGGGGGACCUCUCUCAAGUCCAUUUCAGCCUCUACCACCUCACUGGCGCUGGGUGACAGCUGUUCGAUUCUUUUAGCCUGACUGAGUUUCACUAUUUUUAAUUUUAAUUUUAAUUCCAUUAAAAAAUCACAUAUGUG
Molecule: long non-coding RNA, 848 nt
Organism: Mesocricetus auratus (golden hamster)
Lineage: Eukaryota; Metazoa; Chordata; Mammalia; Rodentia; Cricetidae
Exons: 2
Source: RefSeq, a predicted model, not a curated record